CGCGCAGGUGGUUCGUUAAGUCCGAGGUGAAAUCUCCCGGCUCAACUGGGAGGGGUCUUCGGAUACUGGCGGACUUGAGGAGAGCAGAGGUGAGCGGAAUUCUCGGUGUAGUGGUGAAAUGCGUAGAUAUCGAGAGGAACACCAGCGGCGAAGGCGGCUCACUGGGCUCCACCUGACACUGAGGCGCGAAAGCGUGGGGAGCAAACCGGAUUAGAUACCCGGGUAGUCCACGCUGUAAACGAUGGGCACUAGGUGUGGGGGGUAUUGACCCCCUCCGUGCCGAAGCUAACGCAAUAAGUGCCCCGCCUGGGGAGUACGGCCGCAAGGCUAAA
RNAcentral lists this ribosomal RNA (332 nucleotides) under uncultured Chloroflexota bacterium. Its description in RNAcentral is "bacterial SSU rRNA". It matches the Rfam family "Bacterial small subunit ribosomal RNA", at positions 568 to 898 of the family's 1533-position model. The record is from RNAcentral. Lineage: Bacteria; Bacillati; Chloroflexota.